This 253-nucleotide ribosomal RNA is filed under the name uncultured Eubacteriales bacterium. RNAcentral's name for it is "uncultured Clostridiales bacterium partial 16S ribosomal RNA". It matches the Rfam family "Bacterial small subunit ribosomal RNA", at positions 524 to 776 of the family's 1533-position model. The record is from RNAcentral. Lineage: Bacteria; Bacillati; Bacillota; Clostridia; Eubacteriales.
UACGUAGGGGGCAAGCGUUAUCCGGAUUUACUGGGUGUAAAGGGAGCGUAGACGGCGAUGCAAGCCAGAUGUGAAAGCCCGGGGCUCAACCCCGGGACUGCAUUGGGAACUGCCCCGCUCGAGUGCCGGAGGGGCAGGCGGAAUUCCUAGUGUAGCGGUGAAAUGCGUAGAUAUACGGAGGAACACCAGUGGCGAAGGCGGCCUGCUGGACAAUAACUGACGCUGAGGCGCGAAAGCGUGGGUAGCAAACAGG